Molecule: long non-coding RNA, 642 nt
Organism: Notolabrus celidotus (New Zealand spotty)
Lineage: Eukaryota; Metazoa; Chordata; Actinopteri; Labriformes; Labridae
Exons: 3
Source: RefSeq, a predicted model, not a curated record
GUAUUUCUUGUGUUCUGUUUGUAAGUCUUCCUUGUGUUCCUAGUGUUUCCUUAUCCCAGUGUUUUCUUUUUUUCUUUUGAUUUCAGUUUCUUGGACAUUUAGAGUCUGAGUGGGCUAGAGUCGUGAGAACCUCAUUGAGGCCACUGAAGUGCUCCACAGUGGGACGGUCUUUAAAAGAUUAAAGCCGUCUCCAGUGUCCAGCCCUCAACUUCCCACCAGUCAGUCAGUGUGUCAGUGGUUCAACUGUCUCUUCAUUCCUCUCCUCCAUCUCCUUGUCCCUUCCUGUCACAGCAAGGACAUUCUGUAUCCAAUGCUGGUCUCAGCUAUGAAUUCCUAUGGAUGAAGGACUGCACAUGCUUCAGGAUGAUGCAUCGCCAAUCUUAGACUGACAGGCUUUUAGAGGCACACCAGGUUUUUUCCCAUCUUGAGCUCACUGUAAAUAGAUGUAUCAUUUUUUCUGGUUCACUAGGCCCCUUUUUGAAUCCCUCCUUUGUUCUGUAAUAUGAACCAUGAUGUUCCCUCCUCGAAAGAUUGGGUACAUUAGUAAAAAUAGCUGUGUGCACUCAGUUUUCAAUCUGCAAUAAGCUUCUUAAAUAACUUUUAUUCUCUGAUGUUGCAGAUUUGAUAUAUAUUCUGUGUUUC